GAUGAACGCUGGCGGCGUGCCUAAUACAUGCAAGUCGAGCGAACAGACGAGGAGCUUGCUCCUCUGACGUUAGCGGCGGACGGGUGAGUAACACGUGGAUAACCUACCUAUAAGACUGGGAUAACUUCGGGAAACCGGAGCUAAUACCGGAUAAUAUAUUGAGCCGCAUGGUUCAAUAGUGAAAGACGGUUUUGCUGUCACUUAUAGAUGGAUCCGCGCCGCAUUAGCUAGUUGGUAAGGUAACGGCUUACCAAGGCAACGAUGCGUAGCCGACCUGAGAGGGUGAUCGGCCACACUGGAACUGAGACACGGUCCAGACUCCUACGGGGGGCAGCAGUAGGGAAUCUUCCGCAAUGGGCGAAAGCCUGACGGAGCAACGCCGCGUGAGUGAUGAAGGUCUUCGGAUCGUAAAACUCUGUUAUUAGGGAAGAACAAAUGUGUAAGUAACUAUGCACGUCUUGACGGUACCUAAUCAGAAAGCCACGGCUAACUACGUG
Molecule: ribosomal RNA, 497 nt
Filed under: uncultured bacterium
Lineage: Bacteria
Description: partial 16S ribosomal RNA
Rfam family: Bacterial small subunit ribosomal RNA
Source: RNAcentral